GAAGAUGUUUUGGCAUUAGACUCUAAGGAACUGGAACCACAUUUGCAGAACUGAUAACAGAUGCUGGAAGUUGGAGCUGCUGCCUAUUAUAUUCUUGGAUUAAAACAGAGAGCCCCAGAGAGAAUUAAGCUUCAUCCCUGCCACCAACAAUGCCUCAUGCAUGAAGCAGAUGUUCACAUCAGCUGCACAGGCAGUCAAUCGAAUAACAAUAGCAUCAUUAUUGAAAGAUCACUGAGACACACCAUCCUCCAGGUUCUUCACGUGCACAGCCAAUUUCAGCCUCAUGACAGCCCACGGGAUUGGUUCUCCAUA
RNAcentral lists this long non-coding RNA (312 nucleotides) under Ictidomys tridecemlineatus (thirteen-lined ground squirrel). Its description in RNAcentral is "lncRNA (ENSSTOG00000029301.1)". The record is from RNAcentral. Lineage: Eukaryota; Metazoa; Chordata; Mammalia; Rodentia; Sciuridae.